This 483-nucleotide ribosomal RNA is filed under the name uncultured bacterium. Its description in RNAcentral is "bacterial SSU rRNA". It matches the Rfam family "Bacterial small subunit ribosomal RNA", at positions 29 to 507 of the family's 1533-position model. The record is from RNAcentral.
AUGAACGCUAGCGGCAGGCUUAACACAUGCAAGUCGAGGGGCAGCACGGGUAGCAAUACCUGGUGGCGACCGGCGCAAGGGUGCGUAACGCGUGAGCAACAUGCCCUAUACAGGGGGAUAAUCCAGGGAAACUUGGUCUAAUAUCCCAUAGUAUUUAGAGGAGGCAUCUUCUAUAAAUUAAAGCUUCGGUGGUAUAGGAUUGGCUCGCGUGACAUUAGCUAGAUGGUGAGGUAACGGCUCACCAUGGCGAUGAUGUCUAGGGGUUCUGAGAGGAAGACCCCCCACACUGGGACUGAGACACGGCCCAGACUCCUACGGGAGGCAGCAGUGAGGAAUAUUGGACAAUGGAUGGAAAUCUGAUCCAGCCAUGCCGCGUGCAGGAAGACGGCCCUAUGGGUUGUAAACUGCUUUUAUAUGGGAGCAAUAAGGUUUACGCGUAGACCGAUGAGAGUACCAUAUGAAUAAGCAUCGGCUAACUCCGUG